GUUUUUUCAAGCUGUGCUCGCUGUUUAGAUUCUCCUCUGCAGACCUUUUGAUCAAUUCAGAAGCCUGCAAAAUGGAACCCAUGCAAAAUUUCAGAGGAUAAGUGACUGACACUAGCUAUAUCAGAUAAAGACAAGAGAAGUCUCUUAUUAAGACAUCUUUUUCUCGGCAGUCUGAUUCUCUAUCUCGAGCAAGACACCUUUAAGUUAAACAAUGGACAGGUAUAAGAAUUGAGAAUGAGUUAGGAGUCACAUUUUGAAUAUGAUCUUUCAAAAAAGUCUUAAUUGAGAUCUUACCUCGCACUUGAUGCCAAAUUGAACAAAUAGUUCAUGAUACUCUUUGCUUCACCUAAUGUUCGAACUUGGUUCCACCUUCCUUUUCCACCAAACACACGCUCGCGUUCCUCUGCUUCGGACAAUUGUGAUGCCAUGGAAACGAGAGUGUUUGAAGAGGUCGCAAGCAUAUUCUCCAGUGCAAAAAUCCUUGAGUUUCUUGCUCCCGGAGACAUGGUAUCAUCAUGCACGCUGCUUUGGUUACAGCAGAAGUAAACUGUUUACUAUUUUUUCAAUAAAGAACUGGUACUGGUUUAUGCAAAAUCACCACCCACCUUAUCUUGGCA
Raphanus sativus (radish) is the source of this 617-nucleotide long non-coding RNA. RefSeq lists it as uncharacterized. NCBI's taxonomy places the organism in Eukaryota, Viridiplantae, Streptophyta, Magnoliopsida, Brassicales, Brassicaceae. The transcript is spliced from 2 exons. The record is from RefSeq and is a predicted model, not a curated record.